GUCCACGCUGUAAACGAUGGGCACUAGGUGUUCGGGGUAUUGACCCCCUGAGUGCCGCAGCUAACGCAUUAAGUGCCCCGCCUGGGGACUACGGCCGCAAGGUUAAAACUCAAAGGAAUUGACGGGGGCCCGCACAAGCGGUGGAGCAUGUGGUUUAAUUCGACGCAACGCGAAGAACCUUACCUGGGCUAGACAACGUCGGACAGCUUUGGAAACAGAGUCUUCCCGCAAGGGACCGGCGGUUCAGGUGCUGCAUGGCUGUCGU
This 265-nucleotide ribosomal RNA is filed under the name uncultured bacterium. Its description in RNAcentral is "partial 16S ribosomal RNA". It matches the Rfam family "Bacterial small subunit ribosomal RNA", at positions 793 to 1055 of the family's 1533-position model. The record is from RNAcentral.